RNAcentral lists this long non-coding RNA (676 nucleotides) under Capsella grandiflora. RNAcentral's name for it is "long non-coding RNA (CGRA_LNC000520)". The record is from RNAcentral. Lineage: Eukaryota; Viridiplantae; Streptophyta; Magnoliopsida; Brassicales; Brassicaceae.
UCGAUCUCUCAUUUCUAUUUGUCUUUUUUUCUCAUUAAUAUUACUCCAUAUAAUAUGUUUACAUUACCAUUGUUGAAAUGUUGAUUGGGACUACAUGGUUGCACAAGUCUUUUCUAAUAUAUAAUAUCACAAAUAUCUUUACUACUUUUUCUUCAUUUUCUUACAAUCUGAGCCUAGUUAUUUUCAGUUUAUAAUUUCAAUCAAGUAUUAAAGAAAGUAUAAGACACUUAAAGGGGCUUAUUAAUCAAUCACUUUCGUUUUUUUUUUUUUUUUGGAAAUUUUAUCAAUCACAAUUUCAAUACUACAUUUGAGAGAACGUGGCACAGUGAUUUAACGAAAUGGACCACUCUACGAAUCACAUGCAAUUGUAUGUGUGAUAAUGAACAAUGAUCGAAGGAUGAUGAAAUCUCAAGUGGGCUAGGCUAGUUUCGAAGCUUUAGGGUUUUUGACAGCUUCAACAAAAUUAAAGAUGGCUAUGUGUGUGGCUAUAUAUCUGAGUGACCAUUUUGGAGUUGUUGGUGUUAUUACCCUUCUCUCGGCAAAUUAACGUGCCUGAUAGGUCACUUGAGGUCCCAUUCUUCCAUCAUUAAUUUCUCACCGUCCGAUCGAUCAUUGCCCCAUACGUAACAUUCCCACUGCAGCUGCAUGGUUCUCUGUUUAACAAAAGAAACUAUAA